Molecule: non-coding RNA, 48 nt
Organism: Schistosoma mansoni
Lineage: Eukaryota; Metazoa; Platyhelminthes; Trematoda; Strigeidida; Schistosomatidae
Source: Rfam
AUCCAGUUGACGCGUCUCAAAUGGAACGGAACGCGCGUCAAACUGGAU